AAAUACAUUGCGUGGAAAAGCCCUGGCGCACCCCACAACCCUUUGUAGAACUCAUACCUUACCGUUGCCUCGGCGCAGGCCGGCCCCCCCCCGGGGGGCCCCUCGGAGACGAGGAGCAGGCCCGCCGGCGGCCAAGUUAACUCUUGUUUUUACACUGAAACUCUGAGAAACAAAACACAAAUGAAUCAAAACUUUCAACAACGGAUCUCUUGGUUCUGGCAUCGAUGAAGAACGCAGCGAAAUGCGAUAAGUAAUGUGAAUUGCAGAAUUCAGUGAAUCAUCGAAUCUUUGAACGCACAUUGCGCCCUCUGGUAUUCCGGAGGGCAUGCCUGUUCGAGCGUCAUUUCAACCCUCAAGCCUGGCUUGGUGAUGGGGCACUGCUCCCCCCCCGGGGAGCAGGCCCUGAAAUCCAGUGGCGAGCUCGCCAGGACCCCGAGCGCAGUAGUUAAACCCUCGCUCCGGGAGGCCCUGGCGGUGCCCUGCCGUUAAACCCCCAACUUCUGAAAGUUUGACCUCGGAUCAGGUAGGAAUACCCGCUGAACUUAAGCAUAUCAAUAAGCGGAGGAAA
RNAcentral lists this ribosomal RNA (568 nucleotides) under Diaporthe ampelina. RNAcentral describes it as "eukaryotic LSU rRNA". The stretch from base 190 to 343 matches the Rfam family "5.8S ribosomal RNA". Lineage: Eukaryota; Fungi; Ascomycota; Sordariomycetes; Diaporthales; Diaporthaceae. The record is from RNAcentral.